This 501-nucleotide ribosomal RNA is filed under the name uncultured bacterium. Its description in RNAcentral is "bacterial SSU rRNA". It matches the Rfam family "Bacterial small subunit ribosomal RNA", at positions 1 to 507 of the family's 1533-position model. The record is from RNAcentral.
GUCACGAGUUUGAUCCUGGCUCAGGAUGAACGCUAGCGGCAGGCUUAACACAUGCAAGUCGAGGGGUAUAGUUCUUCGGAACUAGAGACCGGCGCACGGGUGCGUAACGCGUAUACAAUCUACCUUUACAGAGGGAUAGCCCAGAGAAAUUUGGAUUAAUACCUCAUAGUAUUUUUGAAUCGCAUGAUUUGAUUAUUAAAGUUCCAACGGUAAAAGAUGAGUAUGCGUCCCAUUAGCUAGAUGGUAAGGUAACGGCUUACCAUGGCUACGAUGGGUAGGGGUCCUGAGAGGGAGAUCCCCCACACUGGUACUGAGACACGGACCAGACUCCUACGGGAGGCAGCAGUGAGGAAUAUUGGACAAUGGGCGCAAGCCUGAUCCAGCCAUGCCGCGUGCAGGAAGAAGGUCCUAUGGAUUGUAAACUGCUUUUAUACAGGAAGAAACACUCCCUCGUGAGGGAACUUGACGGUACUGUAUGAAUAAGGACCGGCUAACUCCGUG